AUUGAACGCUGGCGGCAUGCUUUACACAUGCAAGUCGAACGGCAGCGCGGGCUUCGGCCUGGCGGCGAGUGGCGAACGGGUGAGUAAUGCAUCGGAACGUGCCCAGUAGUGGGGGAUAGCCCGGCGAAAGCCGGAUUAAUACCGCAUACGACCUGAUGGUGAAAGCGGGGGACCGGAAGGCCUCGCGCUAUUGGAGCGGCCGAUGUCGGAUUAGCUAGUUGGUGGGGUAAAGGCUUACCAAGGCGACGAUCCGUAGCUGGUCUGAGAGGACGACCAGCCACACUGGGACUGAGACACGGCCCAGACUCCUACGGGAGGCAGCAGUGGGGAAUUUUGGACAAUGGGGGCAACCCUGAUCCAGCCAUGCCGCGUGCGGGAAGAAGGCCUUCGGGUUGUAAACCGCUUUUGUUCGGGAAGAAAUCCUCUGGGCUAAUACCCCGGGGGGAUGACGGUACCGGAAGAAUAAGCACCGGCUAACUACGUG
This 484-nucleotide ribosomal RNA is filed under the name uncultured bacterium. Its description in RNAcentral is "partial 16S ribosomal RNA". It matches the Rfam family "Bacterial small subunit ribosomal RNA", at positions 28 to 507 of the family's 1533-position model. The record is from RNAcentral.